RNAcentral lists this ribosomal RNA (253 nucleotides) under uncultured bacterium. Its description in RNAcentral is "partial 16S ribosomal RNA". It matches the Rfam family "Bacterial small subunit ribosomal RNA", at positions 524 to 776 of the family's 1533-position model. The record is from RNAcentral.
UACGAAGGGGGCUAGCGUUGCUCGGAAUCACUGGGCGUAAAGCGCACGUAGGCGGCUUUCUAAGUCAGGUGUGAAAUCCUGGAGCUCAACUCCAGAACUGCCUUUGAUACUGGCGACCUUGAGUCCGGGAGAGGUGAGUGGAACUGCGAGUGUAGAGGUGAAAUUCGUAGAUAUUCGCAAGAACACCAGUGGCGAAGGCGGCUCACUGGCCCGGUACUGACGCUGAGGUGCGAAAGCGUGGGGAGCAAACAGG